This is a ribosomal RNA of 3049 nucleotides. It matches the Rfam family "Archaeal large subunit ribosomal RNA". The record is from Rfam.
GAGUCCGACACGUCAAGCCAUCUAGUGGACGGUUUGGCUCGGGCGCCGACGAAGGUCGUGGCAAGCUGCGAUAAGCCUGGGCGAGGUGCAUGCAGCCCUUGAACCCGGGAUUGCCUAAUGGGACAUCCUGUCAUGGAAAACCCAUGGCGCUCGCGUCAGUGAGCGGGAACCCCGCGAAAUGAAACAUCUUAGUAACGGGAGGAAGAGAAAGCAAACCGCGAUGCCCUUAGUAACGGCGAGUGAAAAGGGUGAAGGGCAAACCGAACCCGAUCGGGAAACCGAUUGGGAAUGUGGAGUUGCAGGACUCGAUCGCCUCCUUCUCGAGGAAGCUGAAGCCGCUGGAAUGCGACGCCAGAGAGGGUGAAAGCCCCGUAAGCGUGACUUGAAAGGUGUUGGAUUGGGUAUCCUGAGUACCGUGCAUUGGAUAUUGCGCGGAAAGCUGGGAGUAGUAACUCCCAACCCUAAAUACGUCCCGAGACCGAUAGCGAACGCAGUACCAUGAGGGAAAACUGAAAAGCAUCCCGAAAGGGAGAUGAAAAGAGCCCGAAACCAGAUGGCGAUAGAGGGGUGUAGCCUUAAAGAAAGGAGCCUUCUCGAAGGAAUCCGUGGCGACGCGGUAGUACGAGGGAAGGGGAUCAGGGUUGCGCCUACCGUUUGGAAAUACGGGCCAGGGAGUUGAUUUCCGUGGCGAGGUUAAGGAGUCCACCUCCGGAGCCCCAGCGAAAGCGACAUGCCCGCAGUCUUGCUUCGUGCGAGAUUAGGGGCGGGGUGUGAAAGCGCCCGGAGUCACGGGAAUCAGACCCGAAACCAGGCGAUCUAGCCCUGGACAGGGUGAAGCCGAUCUUCGGAUUGGUGGAGGCCCGCACCGGUCCUGCCGUGCAAUGUGGUCGGAUGAUCUAGGGCUAGGGGUGAAAGGCCCAUCUAGCCUGGCGACAGCUGGUUCCUCUCGAAAAUGGUCGCAGCCACACCCGGCGCGAGAUGGAUGUUGGUGUAGAGCACUGAUUGGUAAGUUUGGAGGGAGACCUCCGGCUUGCCUGUCAAACUCCGAAGCUGAUAUCGUCUUAGACCGCCGGAGCCAGGGCGCAGGGGGUAAGCUCCUGCUCCGAAAGGGGAACAACUCAGACCGGGGUUAAGGCCCCUAAAUGCCGGCUAAGUGUUAAGCUUAAAGGGAGUCUCCGCUCUGAGACAGCGGGGAGAUAGGCUUAGAAGCAGCCAUUCUUUAAACAUCGCGUAACAGCGAACCCGUUAAGGGUAGAGGCCCCGAAAAUGGACGGGACUAAGCCGGCUGCCGAUACCUCGGGACAGGUGAAGAAAAGUAGCCUGAUUCUGUAGAGAGGCAUCCGGCGAGGGUGGAAGUACGGCUGUGAGGUCGUACGGACCUCGUUGGAAAGAGAAUCCUGGCAGUAGUAGCAGCAAAGUAGGGUAAGAAUCCCUACCGCCGGAGGGGCACGGGUUCCUCAUCAAUGUUCGUCAGCUGAGGGUCAGCCGGUCCUAAGCUCUUCCUUAACACGAGGAGAGCGAAGGGGAAACGGGUUAAUAUUCCCGUGCCACCCGAGUACCUGCCGUAAGGCUAGGCUUGAACUCCGACGCUUUGGGAUACGCCGAGUAGGGCUUCGCCCUAUUUAACCGGUAAAGUCCGGGGAGAGCCGUAACGGCGAGAACCGGAUGAAGCUGGGAAUAUCCUGUCAAGUUAUAGGUUCGGCGGAUUCUUGGAGCCCGUGAAAAGGAGAUCAAGAAUUGGAAUCUCGGGUGUCCGUACCUAGAACCAACACAGGUGUCCCUAGGUGAGUAGCCUAAGGCGUGUCGGGGGAUCCCAGGCCAGGGAAAUCGGCAAAUUGGCCCCGUACCUUUGGUAGAAGGGGUGCCUGCCCUGCGAAAGGGCAGGUUGCAGUGACCAGGGGGGUCCGACUGUUUAAUAAAAACAUAGCCAACCGCGAGUCCGAAAGGAUGAGUACGGUUGGUGAAUCCUGCCCAGUAGCGGCUUGUCAAGCAGGGUUACAACCCUGUGAAGCGCCGCUAGACGGCGGGGGUAACUAUAACCCUCUUAAGGUAACGAAGUGCCUUGCCGCUGAAUUGGCGGCUUGCAUGAACGGAUCAACGAGACCCCCACUGUCCCGGCCCGGGUCCCGGUGAACCUACGGUCUGGCGCAGAGUCCAGAUACUCCCGUAGGGAAGCGAAGACCCCGUGGAGCUUAACUGCAGGCUGCCGUUGGAGUUUGGUGGACGAUGUAAAGUGUAGGCGGGAGCCGUCGAAGCCAAGCCGCCAGGCUUGGUGAAGGCGUCCAUGUAACACCGCCCACCGUCGACCGAGUUCCUAACUACUUCGGUAGAACAGUGGCAGUUGGGCAGUUUCGCUGGGGCGGCAGCCCCUCGAAAAAUUAUCGAGGGGGUCCAAGGGUCGGCUUAGGCGGGUCAGAAGUCCGCCGUAAAGGACAAGGCCAGAAGCCGGCCUAACUGUGUCCUUGUCACAGGAGGACGCAGGGACAAAAGUCAGGCCUAGCGAACCCCGACGUUCCUCUUACUGAGGACUCGGGAUGACAGAAAAGCUACCCCGGGGAUAACAGAGUUGUCUCCCCCAAGAGCCCGUAUCGACGGGGAGGCUUGCUACCUCGAUGUCGGUUCUUCGCAUCCUGGCCGUGCAGCAGCGGCCAAGGGUAGGGUUGUUCGCCCGUUAAAGCGGAUCGUGAGCUGGGUUUAGACCGUCGUGAGACAGGUCGGACGCUAUCUUGCGGGAGUGUCGGAUGCCUGAGGGUAAGGUAGCUUCAGUACGAGAGGAACGAGCUGCCGGCGCCUCUAGUGUACCGGUUGUCCGAAGGGGCAGUGCCGGGUAGCCACGCGCCGGUCGAUAAGGGCUGAAAGCAUCUAAGCCUGAAGCGAUUCCCGAAAAUAGGCAUCCAAUCUUGGCCAAAAUUCCGGGACUGGUGACAGUCUCGGAGCGCCAGGACAAAGGCAGGGGCUAGAAGACCCCGUUGAUGGACCGGGGGUGUAAGCGCGAAGCUUCGGCGACGCGUUCAGCCCACCGGCACCAAUAGCCUGAGGUGUCGUACUC